CCUACGGGGGGCAGCAGUGAGGAAUAUUGGUCAAUGGACGAGAGUCUGAACCAGCCAAGUAGCGUGAAGGAUGACUGCCCUAUGGGUUGUAAACUUCUUUUAUAGGGGAAUAAAAUGUGCCACGUGUGGGAUGUUGUAUGUACCAUAUGAAUAAGGAUCGGCUAACUCCGUGCCAGCAGCCGCGGUAAUACGGAGGAUCCGAGCGUUAUCCGGAUUUCUGGGGUUUAAAGGGAGCGUAGGGGGCUUGUUAAGUCAGUUGUGAAAGUUUGCGGCUCAACCGGAAAAUUGCAGUUGAAACUGGCAGUCUUGCGUACAGUCGAGGUGGGCGGCAUUCGUGGUGUAGCGGUGA
This 349-nucleotide ribosomal RNA is filed under the name uncultured bacterium. Its description in RNAcentral is "partial 16S ribosomal RNA". It matches the Rfam family "Bacterial small subunit ribosomal RNA", at positions 338 to 684 of the family's 1533-position model. The record is from RNAcentral.